CAAUAGCGUAUAUUAAAGUUGUUGCAGUUAGAACGCUCGUAGUCGGAUUUCGGGGCGGGUCGACCGGUCUGCCGAUGGGUACGCACUGGCCGACGCGUCCUUCCUUCCGGAGACCGUCUCACUCUUAACUGAGCGGAGGCGGGAGACGGAACGUUUACUUUGAAAAAAUCAGAGUGUUUCAAGCAGGCAGCUCGCUCUUGCAUGGAUUAGCAUGGGAUAAUGAAAUAGGACUUUGGUGCUAUUUUGUUGGUUUCGAACACCGAAGUAAUGAUGAGAAGGGACAGUCAGGGGCACUCGUAUUCCGCCGAGAGAGGUGAAAUUCUCAGACCAGCGGAAGACGAACCACUGCGAAAGCAUUUGCCAGGGAUGUUUUCACUG
This 378-nucleotide ribosomal RNA is filed under the name uncultured eukaryote. RNAcentral's name for it is "partial 18S ribosomal RNA". It matches the Rfam family "Eukaryotic small subunit ribosomal RNA", at positions 592 to 975 of the family's 1831-position model. The record is from RNAcentral.